This 466-nucleotide long non-coding RNA is filed under the name Elaeis guineensis (African oil palm). RNAcentral describes it as "long non-coding RNA (EGUI_LNC051345)". The record is from RNAcentral. Lineage: Eukaryota; Viridiplantae; Streptophyta; Magnoliopsida; Arecales; Arecaceae.
GCCCUUAGUUCCUCUGAACCUAUCAACCAUCUAACUCUUAAUACCCCAUACGAUGAAGUAGGUAUCUGAGUGCAUCACUUUGGUAGUCUCUCCCUCAAGUGCUACACCAAACUCUCUAAAAAUAAGAGUGAGAGCUAUACCAUAUGGAAGAUAGGCCUUCAUCCUAUAGACUGCCUCCUACAUCUACUAAAUCAUCAAGGCUAGAAGGUUUAGGGGGAUGCCCUGAACCAUAUGGUAUGUGAUGACCACGUCUCUUUUUGAAACAAAGUCAAACCUUCCUAACUUCAGAAAGAGAAUCCAUCCUAUGAUAUGGUGGAGUAGCCUCCUCUCAGCAGAUAACUAAUUCACCAAGAUGUCCUCCAAAACAUUAAUGUCCUAUUUUUCCAAAAUAACUCAUAAAGCUGCCUCUCGAUCUAAAGAUCUGCUAGGUACAACUCUCUAUCUUGACAACUAAAGAAUCCUGGCU